CCUAUUUUCUUGACAUAAUAGACAACUCAGAAACAAACAAGCUCGUCCUACUCCUCCUGUCAUAAACCAUCUCCGAAGCAUAACAUGAUAGUUGAUUGAACUUGAGGUUGUACUCAUUCACACUAAUGAUUUACGACUUAAGAAUGAGGAAUUCUCUUACCUUUGUUUCUCUCAGCUCACGAGAAAAGAAACGCCCCAUGAAGGCAUUUCCAA
RNAcentral lists this long non-coding RNA (213 nucleotides) under Solanum tuberosum (potato). RNAcentral describes it as "long non-coding RNA (STUB_LNC011650)". Lineage: Eukaryota; Viridiplantae; Streptophyta; Magnoliopsida; Solanales; Solanaceae. The record is from RNAcentral.